RNAcentral lists this ribosomal RNA (468 nucleotides) under uncultured bacterium. Its description in RNAcentral is "partial 16S ribosomal RNA". It matches the Rfam family "Bacterial small subunit ribosomal RNA", at positions 28 to 507 of the family's 1533-position model. The record is from RNAcentral.
GACGAACGCUGGCGGCGUGCUUAACACAUGCAAGUCGAACGGAAAGGCCCUGCUUUUGUGGGGUGCUCGAGUGGCGAACGGGUGAGUAACACGUGAGUAAACUGCCCUUGACUUUGGGAUAACUUCAGGAAACUGGGGCUAAUACCGGAUAGGAGCUCCUGCUGCAUGGUGGGGGUUGGAAAGUUUCGGCGGUUGGGGAUGGACUAGCGGCUUAUCAGCUUGUUGGUGGGGUAGUGGCUUACCAAGGCUUUGACGGGUAGCCGGCCUGGGAGGGUGACCGGCGACAUUGGGACUGAGGUACGGCCCAGACUCCUACGGGAGGCAGAAGUGGGAAAUAUUGCACAAUGGGCGGAAGCCUGAUGCAGCAACGCCGCGUGCGGGAUGACGGCCUUCGGGUUGUAAACCGCUUUCGCCUGUGACGAAGCGUGAGUGACGGUAAUGGGUAAAGAAGCACCGGCUAACUACGUG